AGGUAGCAUAAUCAUUAGUCUUUUAAUUGAAGGCUGGAAUGAAUGGUUGGACGAAAUAUUUACUGUUUCAUAUUAAUUUUUGAUAAAAUUUUAUUUUUUAGUAAAAAAGCUAAAAUAAUAUUAAAAGACGAGAAGACCCUAUAAAUCUUUAUAUUUUAAUUAAUUUUUAUAAAUUAGAAAUUAAAUUAUUUAAUUUAAUUUAAAUAUUUUAUUGGGGUGAUAUUAAAAUUUAAUUAACUUUUAAUUUUAUUGAACAUUAAUUUAUGAAUUAUUGAUCCAAUAAUAUUGAUUAUUAGAAUAAGUUACUUUAGGGAUAACAGCGUAAUUUUUUUGGAGAGUUCAUAUUGAUAAAAAAUAUUGCGACCUCGAUGUUGGAUUAAGAAAUAAAUUUAGGUGUAGAAGCU
RNAcentral lists this ribosomal RNA (404 nucleotides) under Lipoptena cervi. RNAcentral's name for it is "partial 16S ribosomal RNA". The record is from RNAcentral. Lineage: Eukaryota; Metazoa; Arthropoda; Insecta; Diptera; Hippoboscidae.